This 70-nucleotide ribozyme is filed under the name Rodentolepis nana. RNAcentral describes it as "Hymenolepis nana HDV ribozyme from F. prausnitzii". It matches the Rfam family "HDV ribozyme from F. prausnitzii". The record is from Rfam by way of RNAcentral. Lineage: Eukaryota; Metazoa; Platyhelminthes; Cestoda; Cyclophyllidea; Hymenolepididae.
GGUGUGCGAUAGACUUACCUCUACGUGGUGCAAACUGGGCAACGUAUACUCAUACGGCAAAUAAGUCUAU